This 253-nucleotide ribosomal RNA is filed under the name uncultured bacterium. Its description in RNAcentral is "partial 16S ribosomal RNA". It matches the Rfam family "Bacterial small subunit ribosomal RNA", at positions 524 to 776 of the family's 1533-position model. The record is from RNAcentral.
UACGAAGGGGGCUAGCGUUGCUCGGAAUCACUGGGCGUAAAGGGUGCGUAGGCGGGUCUUUAAGUCAGGGGUGAAAUCCUGGAGCUCAACUCCAGAACUGCCUUUGAUACUGAUGAGCUUGAGUACAGAUGAGGUAGGCGGAAUUGACGGUGUAGCGGUGAAAUGCUUAGAUAUCGUCAAGAACACCUAUAGCGAAGGCAGCUUACUAGGCUGUAACUGACGCUGAGGCACGAAAGUGUGGGGAUCAAACAGG